GAAUUCAAAGUGAAUUUCAAAUUUAAGAUCAAAUUAGCCGAACUGGAAGCAAAGAUGAUUUGGAGAUUUUUUCCAAUUUGGCUAUUUUAGCCUUCAAUAUGAAAUUCACAAUUCUCAUUUUAGUGAACAACCUUGUAAGUAUCUCACAAUGCAAUUGGAAUGGUGUCAAGAUAGUCUAAGAAGUGCAGAGAAGAUUCCAGAAUCCAAGCAUGUUUGUCAAGUCAGAGGUGAAUGUAGAGUAUUCAGGUGUAAAGAUAAGCAUUUCAGGUAUGUAGUUAGAUAACC
Molecule: non-coding RNA, 285 nt
Organism: Pelobates cultripes (western spadefoot toad)
Lineage: Eukaryota; Metazoa; Chordata; Amphibia; Anura; Pelobatidae
Source: the annotation of a GenBank genome assembly